RNAcentral lists this ribosomal RNA (609 nucleotides) under Vestergrenopsis isidiata. Its description in RNAcentral is "SSU rRNA". It matches the Rfam family "Eukaryotic small subunit ribosomal RNA", at positions 103 to 715 of the family's 1831-position model. The record is from RNAcentral. Lineage: Eukaryota; Fungi; Ascomycota; Lecanoromycetes; Peltigerales; Koerberiaceae.
UAAUCAGUUAUCGUUUAUUUGAUAGUACCUCGCUACUUGGAUACCUGUGGUAAUUCUAGAGCUAAUACAUGCUAAAAACCUCGACUUCGGAAGGGGUGUAUUUAUUAGAUAAAAAACCAAUGCCCUCCGGGGCUCCUUGGUGAUUCAUAAUAACUAAACGAAUCGCAUGGCCUUGCGCCGGCGAUGGUUCAUUCAAAUUUCUGCCCUAUCAACUUUCGAUGGUAGGAUAGUGGCCUACCAUGGUUUCUACGGGUAACGGGGAAUUAGGGUUCGAUUCCGGAGAGGGAGCCUGAGAAACGGCUACCACAUCCAAGGAAGGCAGCAGGCGCGCAAAUUACCCAAUCCCGACACGGGGAGGUAGUGACAAUAAAUACUGAUCCAGGGCUCUUUCGGGUCUUGUAAUUGGAAUGAGUACAAUUUAAAUCCCUUAACGAGGAACAAUUGGAGGGCAAGUCUGGUGCCAGCAGCCGCGGUAAUACCAGCUCCAAUAGCGUAUAUUAAAGUUGUUGCAGUUAAAAAGCUCGUAGUUGAAACUUGGGCCUGGCUGACCGGUCCGCCUCACCGCGUGCACUGGUUCGGCCGGGCCUUUCCUUCUGGGGAUGCGCAUGC